RNAcentral lists this long non-coding RNA (986 nucleotides) under Monodelphis domestica (gray short-tailed opossum). Its description in RNAcentral is "lncRNA (ENSMODG00000036246.2)". The record is from RNAcentral. Lineage: Eukaryota; Metazoa; Chordata; Mammalia; Didelphimorphia; Didelphidae.
GAACUUAAUUGAAUGGAUGAGAAUCCAGUUGUUUUCAGCAGAUUGAUCUUUCAAUGCAAUAAAACAAGGAGAGACUGGUAAAGCAAGUGGAUAGCUGUGUAACCUGGGGUAAAUUAUUUAACCCUUCCUUGCCUUAAUUUCUUCAUUUAUAAAAUUGAAAGAUAAUAAUAAUACCUAUCUCACAGAGUUAUUGAGAGAGCAAAAUGGCAUCACAUAUAUAGAGCUUUGUAAACUUCACAGUGUUAUGUAAAACUAUGAUGAUGAUAAUGAUGAUGGUGGUGGUGGUGAUGAUGAUGAUGGUGAUGAUGAUGGUGAUGAUGACGAUGACUAUUACACUGACCCAGGCAUGAGACAACAAAGGCUUUGACAAGGUUAAUUAAUGUUAGUGAGAAUGUAAGUUUUGGUUGGAGGGUAAAAUCAUGAAGGCUUGGUUACUAUAUAUGAUGAUAUUGAGGAAGGAAAAGAAUGACAAAAUCUUGAAGUCACUGCAACCUCAGAAGCCUUGUAGAACAACAUGAUAUGGACCCACAACUUGCUCUUCUUAAACUUUGAAGAAUGAAAGAGAAGUCCCACUGCUUCUCAGGAAGCCCAUCUCACUUUCACAGAGUUUUCAUGGGAAGAAAACUUUUCCUUACAUAGAACCGAAUCUUCCUCUGCAACCUCCACCUCUAGUAAACAUCCUGGUUUUCCCCUCAGGAGCCAAGAAAAAGUCAUCUAUAUUCCUUUUAUAUCACAGUCCUUCACGAUGACUGAAGUUCUGAGUGAGUUAUCGGAAAAGUGGUGGGACCUUAUUUUCCACCAAGGAAAAAAAAAAGAAAUUAGGAGAGAGGACGCUGUUUUAGUGAACCCUGGAUGUAUGUGAAUCAAGGACUCACAUUGAGGACCAGCUAGACUUUGGUGCCCAGGAAUACUCUGAACAAUGGUUCAUUGUUCUUAUGGCAAAAUUCAAUUUCAAUAAAAACCGAUCACUUAAUAACUGAAUCUCA